Molecule: long non-coding RNA, 3137 nt
Filed under: Citrus x clementina
Lineage: Eukaryota; Viridiplantae; Streptophyta; Magnoliopsida; Sapindales; Rutaceae
Description: Citrus clementina (C. clementina) long non-coding RNA (CCLE_LNC006554)
Source: RNAcentral
UUUUUUAAAAUAGAGGGCUUGAGCUUAGUUCAAGCUUUUUUUUCUAACCCCUUGUCCAGACCCUUAUGCGGGAGGCCCGGGCCAAAGCCCGUAGGAAUGGACAAGGCCGACCCGAGCUUGAGCCGGCCCAAACUUUUUUGCCAUCCCUGUGUGUGUAUUAUGUAUGUCAGUGGCACUGGGAGUGAAGCACAAAUAGUUUACGUGGCCAAUUGCAUUUUUCAAUAAGGGUGAGCAAACCUAUUCUAAAUUAAUAGAUCAAUUUGAUCCAAUCCAAUCCAAUCUUUAUUUUGAUGGAUUGAGUGGAUUAUUAUGAGUUAAUUGGGUCAAUUAUUGUAGAUUAAUUGGGUCAAUUUUACAAUUAAUAAUUAGGUUAGAUUAGGUUAAAUAUGAUGAACCGUAUAAUCCAACCUAGGCCAUGCAAAUAAUAAUAAUAACAAUAAUAAUGAUAUGUUUAUUCUCAAUUGUAAAAUCCUAAAAAUCUAAACAACUAACCUAAUUUUUAACUCUUUUUAUUUUAAUAGAAGAAACCAUUUCAUUCUCGCAUAUGCUCUCUAUACUCUAAUUUUAAAGUUAAAAUACUAUCUCAUAUAAGUAAAUUUAUUAUCUUGUAAGUUUAAUUUCAAAAGUCAAUUGGUUUUAAUUUCUCAUUAUCUUUUAGUAAACACUUAACAAUAUAUAAUUGUAUAUCACUUUUAUUUUGUUACCAAACAUGAUACUAGCUAAUUAUCUAAAAUGUCUGAAUUUGAAAUUUGAAAAAGAGAUGUGGGAUAGAAGCACAUUGUUGAAAUUUUCUUAAUUUUAAAAUAGUUGAUUUUUUAGUUUUCUUUAUCGGGCACUAAACAAUGAAUAAAAUUUUCAUGUUAUAAUAAAUUUAUAUUAUAUUUUAAUAAGUUUCAUUUCUAAAUUUAUAUUUUUUUUUAAUUUUAAUUUUGAUUUGACUUUCAAUCCGAUCAAAACAAUUCAAUUCAAUAUUGGAUUGAAUUAAAUAUAUUUGUUUAAUUGGGUGAGUUGAUUUAAUCUCAACCCUACCACAAGUGGGUUGGAUUUGCACAAACCUAUCUAAUCCAACCCAUACUCACCCCUACAUCUCGGAGAAGACAAUUGGAUAGGGCUUCAUUUCAGAUCAAUUUCGCAACCAAUCAAUGGUGAAGCCCAAACCUGCAUCCAUAAGGCAGCCAAAUUCAACCAAAAUUUUUUUUAUGUUGGCCCAACAUGGCUCUCUGGCUUAUUCAGCGUUUAUCCACUGCAUUUGAUGUUUUUAUUUUUAAAUUUGUUUAUUCAUAAAAAUUCUUUAAUAUCUCUCAAAGAUCUGUAUUUUUAAUUUUUUCUGUUUUUCUUUGGGAAAUAAUUUUUUUUUAAAAGAAAACUUAAUCAUACGCGUCACCUUUGAAUGGCAUACUAAAAUUUUAUAGAUUGUUUAGACCUUCUACAUUCAAGUAUUUAACUGAAAAUGAUAUUCGCCAACCAUUUAGAGGAUUUGCUUAAGUCUCAUAUAGUUAAUAUCUCUAAUAUUCCCAUCAAGGAUUAUAUACUUAAAUCAAGAUCAACUCUCAAUUGAUAUGAUAAUAUCUCUAACACUUUCUUUCAAGACUUAUAUCUCACUUUGUUCAAAACGGGUCACUUAAGUAUUAUAUAAUUAAUAAUCUAAUAUCUCUGUCAAUGAUUGUAUACUUAAAUCAGGAUCAACACUCAACUAAUAUGGAAAUAUUCAUAACACGUUCUAUCAAGGCCUGUUAAAAAAAAAAAAAAACGACUUAUAUCCCACUAGUAUGUGAGUUUGACCAUGAUAUCAUAUAAGUUUAAGCGAACUUAAGCGUUAAGGAUUUGCUCAACCAUUAUAUACUUAAACCAAAAUCAAUUAUUAGCCAAUGUGAUAUAAUAUUCCUAACCAACCCUGCGUUAACACCAACCAAGCCAAUUUUUUUCAUUUUUUUCUCGCGACUAAGUGAGAUUCAUGUGAGGGUAGAGGUGUAUUGCUCAUAAAAUUAUCGUGCACAAAAAUUGAGCUCGGCUUCUAACUGAUCUCUUCUCUCGUGUUAGUUCAAUACUGCGUCUCAAAGUAGUAUUUAAUUUGUGCAUGCAUGUUCACCUCUAGUCUCUAGCUAGGUAUCCCUUUGUUUGGUCAUGUGAUGUGAGUGAGUAAACUCAAAAUCUACCAAUAAUACCAACGUACGCAUGCAGCCAAUUGAUCCCGAUCGAUAUUCAAUAGCAGUAGGACUUGUGAUUAGUAACUUUGAAAAACAACGAAAGAAAACAAACUUUGUCAGCCUGGAUUGGUUGGUACGAAGGUGAACGAGCAAGUUCCAAAUUUAGUGAUGGAGAAGCAGCUAGCUAGCAUCAACGCAUGACCAGAGAAUACUAUAAAUUAAUGCUUGCAAGCUUGCAGCCACUUUAAUAAAAAUUGGAAGCAGGUGGUGUGAAUCCAAUGUCAGCACAAGUUGGCAAAAAAGCAUAUUGGUAUUUUUAUGUUUCGGUAGAGCUGCUGCUGAUGCGUCUCAUGUGAACUUUUGACGAUGAUGAUGAAAGUUUUCGUCAUUUCCUUUUUCAUCAAGAAUUUAUCUUAAUAAACAACUAGUGCAAACCCACAUCAGAAAAAGGUUUCUUUAUCCCUUUCAAGAGUAUUAUCAUCUAUUCUAGUUCGGUAAAGUGCAAGGUGGAUUGGCAAUUUGAAACAAAGGAUUAGUGCUUUUUGGAUAAUACAACUUUAGUUGGCACGUAUUUGUUUGUCGUCAAAAGCUCAAUAAUUGCGUACAAGUUUUCAUUUCUCAAUCCCAAUUCAAGCUUUUAAGUAACAUUUGCAUCAACGGUGCUUCGUUGCCUGAAAAUUGUUGCUCGAUUUGAUGACCGAAUAGACAAAAUCUGAAUGACUUUUUCUUAUUUGUAUUAGAUAGCAUGCUCCAUUGGUAAAAAUUUAUUCGUGUUCUAAAAAAUCUGGAUUUCAAACACCACUUACAUAUGUGAUAUGUUUCUAGUUUUUAAUUGGAAUCUCUUUAAUAUUAUUUUAUUUGUGAUUGACAAUAUCUUAGGGUAAUUAUCCAUUUAGAGUGUGUUUGGUGCACCACAUUGUAUUGAACUACUAAACUUGUAAUAAUUUGUAUUGUAUUGAAAUGAAUUAAAUUAAUACAGUAACCCACAUU